UCAGGGUGCAAGUUUAAGGUUUGCAUUUUAUUAUCUGGUAUCUUCAAUCUCUACAGAACCCGCCAGGUUUAAAAAAACACAAGGAAGGCCACUGAAGGAGGAAUUACAGGUGCAAGUUUAAGGUUUGCUUUUUAUUAUCUGGUAUCUUCAAUCUCUACAGAACCCGCCAGGUAAAAAAAACACAAGGAAGGCCAUUGAAGGAGGAAUUACAGUUCUCUUUGUAAACUCUUUACCCUUUCUUCCAUAUUUUUCUUGCACGAUGAGGUGGAAUAGUUACAAGCUAUCAGAAUGUAUCUCUUCAAGAGGUGGAAACAUUCUCAAUUAUGAUAUUUUUGUAUCUGAGCACAAGAAUGUAUAGAAGGAAGAAAGAUGAUAGCACCUACCUUUCAUUUUUUUCUGUUCUAUAGAGAAUUCAACUCGGACAUAUAAUUGCUUGUACACUUGCUGUUCGGCUUGUAGUUUUGCUUGUUUCCUUUUUCUAGAGAUGUUAGUCUUGUUUUUGUUUUUUCAGUUUUUGGUUAUUUGUCAACCUUAUUGAUGGGUUGCAAGAUUUACUUUUCUUUUUUUUUUUUAUCAGCUCAGUAGUGGCAAGGAGAGUAAACUAAUUUGUUUUCUUAGGUAAUUUGUAGUUUGCCUUUUGUUGGAACUUUAUUUUGGUUGGCAAUGUCAACCUAGCAAGUUACCAGUGCCACAGGUAAUGAAGCCAUCCAUUUGUUACAAAAUAAAAUGGGUAUAUUUGAUGUUCU
Molecule: long non-coding RNA, 746 nt
Organism: Coffea eugenioides
Lineage: Eukaryota; Viridiplantae; Streptophyta; Magnoliopsida; Gentianales; Rubiaceae
Exons: 7
Source: RefSeq, a predicted model, not a curated record